GGGCCCAUGGCGCAGUUGGUAGCGCGCCUCUAUGGCAUAGAGGAGGUCGCGAGUUCGAGUCUCGCUGGGUCCA
This 73-nucleotide transfer RNA is filed under the name Patescibacteria group bacterium. Its description in RNAcentral is "tRNA-Ala". It matches the Rfam family "tRNA". Rfam says of the family: Transfer RNA (tRNA) molecules are approximately 80 nucleotides in length. Their secondary structure includes four short double-helical elements and three loops (D, anti-codon, and T loops). The record is from RNAcentral.